This 465-nucleotide ribosomal RNA is filed under the name Vreelandella stevensii. Its description in RNAcentral is "partial 16S ribosomal RNA". It matches the Rfam family "Bacterial small subunit ribosomal RNA", at positions 338 to 795 of the family's 1533-position model. Lineage: Bacteria; Pseudomonadati; Pseudomonadota; Gammaproteobacteria; Oceanospirillales; Halomonadaceae. The record is from RNAcentral.
CCUACGUGUGGCUGCAGUGGGGAAUAUUGGACAAUGGGCGAAAGCCUGAUCCAGCCAUGCCGCGUGUGUGAAGAAGGCCUUCGGGUUGUAAAGCACUUUCAGUGGGGAAGAAAGCCUUGGGGCUAAUACCCUCGAGGAAGGACAUCACCCACAGAAGAAGCACCGGCUAACUCCGUGCCAGCAGCCGCGGUAAUACGGAGGGUGCGAGCGUUAAUCGGAAUUACUGGGCGUAAAGCGCGCGUAGGCGGUCUGAUAAGCCGGUUGUGAAAGCCCCGGGCUCAACCUGGGAACGGCAUCCGGAACUGUCAGGCUAGAGUGCAGGAGAGGAAGGUAGAAUUCCCGGUGUAGCGAUGAAAUGCGUAGAGAUCGGGAGGAAUACCAGUGGCGAAGGCGGCCUUCUGGACUGACACUGACGCUGAGGUGCGAAAGCGUGGGUAGCAAACAGGAUUAGAUACCCCUGUAGUC